CGUCCUAUAAACGACAAUACGUAGGCAGUUACUACCCAUAAUAAAGUCACCUAGCAUACCCCCACUAUWAGGUGACCCUGGUAAAAUUUAAUUACUGCAAAAUUCUUGYUUUAACAUAUUAUAUCAAGGUGCACCUWAUAAUGAGGGAGUGAUGGGUUACCAUAUAAUAAAUGGAAACGGAUUACAUAAUUAAUCGUUUAUAUAAAGGAGGAUUUAAUAGUAGAGAGGUUAUAAUAAGUCUUCUCGAUUUUAGCUCUAGAUUCUGUACACAUCGCCCGUCGCUCUCGUUAA
Molecule: ribosomal RNA, 291 nt
Filed under: Aristeus antennatus (red prawn)
Lineage: Eukaryota; Metazoa; Arthropoda; Malacostraca; Decapoda; Aristeidae
Description: partial 12S ribosomal RNA
Source: RNAcentral